RNAcentral lists this ribosomal RNA (250 nucleotides) under uncultured bacterium. RNAcentral's name for it is "partial 16S ribosomal RNA". It matches the Rfam family "Bacterial small subunit ribosomal RNA", at positions 524 to 773 of the family's 1533-position model. The record is from RNAcentral.
UACGGAGGGUGCAAGCAUUGAUCGGAAUUACUGGGCGUAAAGGGCGCGUAGGCGGCUUAGAAAGUCAGAUGUGAAAUUCCGGGGCUCAACCCCGGAGCUGCAUUUGAAACUUCUAGGCUAGAGUUCAGUUAGGGAAAACAGAAUUCCACGUGUAGCGGUGAAAUGCGUAGAUAUGUGGAAGAAUACCGGUGGUGAAGACGGUUUUCUGGGCUGAGACUGACGCUGAGGCGCGAAAGCAAGGGGAGCAAAC